This 549-nucleotide ribosomal RNA is filed under the name Cornicularia normoerica. RNAcentral describes it as "SSU rRNA". It matches the Rfam family "Bacterial small subunit ribosomal RNA", at positions 356 to 929 of the family's 1533-position model. The record is from RNAcentral. Lineage: Eukaryota; Fungi; Ascomycota; Lecanoromycetes; Lecanorales; Parmeliaceae.
GAGGAAUGUAUAGCAAUAGCUACUUGCAUCAUUGUAUGUAUGAUGCAAGAUCGACUAUGUCGAAUAAAAUUCGAGGUAGAAUUAUGAUAAUGACAUUGUCUGCCUAUGUGUCUUGACCAAAUUACGUGCCAGCAGUCGCGGUAAUACGUAGAAGACUAGUGUUAUUCAUGUUUAAUCGGUUUAAAGGGUACCUAGACGGUAAAUCAAGCCUACAAAAACCAGAAAGGAAGGGACUAAUUUGCUAGAGUUACUUAUGAGGGGGUAUUAAAGUACUGCUGGUGUAGAGAUGAAAUUCUGUCAUACCUUUUUUCAAUAGAAAAAUAACGGCACUGGUUUAGGCGAAGGCAUCCCCUUAUGUGAUAACUGACGUUGAGGGACGAAGGCUUUGUGUAGCGAACAGGAUUAGAUACCCUAGUAGUCAAAGCAGAAAAUGAUGAAUGUCAUAGAUUAGAUAAAUAGUUUAUUCUAUAAAUGAAAGUGUAAGCAUUCCACCUCAAGAGUAAUUUGGCAACAUUGGAACUGAAAUCAUUAGACCGUUUCUGAAACCAG